GGGCGGUUAGCUCAGUUGGGAGAGCACCUGCCUUACAAGCAGGGGGUCACUGGUUCGAGUCCAGUAUCGCCCACCA
RNAcentral lists this transfer RNA (76 nucleotides) under Syntrophomonadaceae bacterium. RNAcentral describes it as "tRNA-Val". It matches the Rfam family "tRNA". Rfam says of the family: Transfer RNA (tRNA) molecules are approximately 80 nucleotides in length. Lineage: Bacteria; Bacillati; Bacillota; Clostridia; Eubacteriales; Syntrophomonadaceae. The record is from RNAcentral.